UGGGGAAUAUUGCACAAUGGGCGCAAGCCUGAUGCAGCGACGCCGCGUGAGGGAUGACGGCCUUCGGGUUGUAAACCUCUUUCACCAGGGACGAAGCGUAAGUGACGGUACCUGGAGAAGAAGCACCGGCCAACUACGUGCCAGCAGCCGCGGUAAUACGUAGGGUGCGAGCGUUGUCCGGAAUUACUGGGCGUAAAGAGCUCGUAGGUGGUUUGUCGCGUUGUUCGUGAAAACUCACAACUCAAUUGUGGGCGUGCGGGCGAUACGGGCAGACUAGAGUACUGCAGGGGAGACUGGAAUUCCUGGUGUAGCGGUGGAAUGCGCAGAUAUCAGGAGGAACACCGGUGGCGAAGGCGGGUCUCUGGGCAGUAACUGACGCUGAGGAGCGAAAGCGUGGGGAGCGAACAGG
This 409-nucleotide ribosomal RNA is filed under the name uncultured bacterium. Its description in RNAcentral is "bacterial SSU rRNA". It matches the Rfam family "Bacterial small subunit ribosomal RNA", at positions 355 to 776 of the family's 1533-position model. The record is from RNAcentral.